RNAcentral lists this ribosomal RNA (570 nucleotides) under Triticum aestivum (bread wheat). RNAcentral's name for it is "partial small subunit ribosomal RNA". The record is from RNAcentral. Lineage: Eukaryota; Viridiplantae; Streptophyta; Magnoliopsida; Poales; Poaceae.
AUGUGGGAUGAUGCCCUGAAGGAAAAUGGGCAGCGCUGGAAGAGGUUUUGUGCACCUUUUAGAAGUGUCCAAGAGGGAAGUGUGAUGUUGGUCACCACUAGAUGUCCAACAGUUGACGAGGGGGUGCGCACAAUGGAUCAUGUUAUAUUGGAAGGUCUAAAGGGUGACGUUUUUUGGAAUUUCUUCAAAUUGUGUGCGUUUAGAUCUGAGAGUUCUAACAAUAAUCCUGAGUUGGAGUGCAUUGGUAGAAGAAUACUUCCUAAAUUGAAGGGUUCUCCGUUGGCCGCGAAAACUCUCGGUCGCAUGUUAAGCAUGGACCUUCAAGCAUCACAUUGGAAUUCUAUACUUGAGAGUGAACUUUGGGAGUUGAGACAAGAGGAGACUGACAUUUUGCCUGCCCUUCGGUUGAGCUUCAUGUAUUUACCAUUCCAUUUGAAGCAAUGUUUCUCAUUCUGUGCUGUGUACCCAAAAGAUUACAAAUUUGAGUUGGUUUCCUUAGCUCGGAUUUGGAGAGCGGAAGGCUUUGUGGAUCCCGAAGGUGGUGCUACAAUUCUAUCUACAAGUUGGUAG